UUGACUUAUUUAUAAAUCACUCAGAGAGGCCAUACAAUUUCAAGAGUUAGAUACCUCCGGCGGGCGCCCGUGAGGGCCGGGGGCCCCGGGAGACCCGGAGCCAACCCGCCGAAGCAACGUUGAAGGUAAGUUCACAAUGGUUUGGGAGUUUUGCAACUCUUUAAUGAUCCCUCCGCUGGUUCACCAACGGAGA
RNAcentral lists this unclassified non-coding RNA (193 nucleotides) under uncultured fungus. Its description in RNAcentral is "sequence contains ITS1". The record is from RNAcentral. Lineage: Eukaryota; Fungi.